UGUAAGCGUAUACCAAAGUUGUUGCAGUUAAAACGCUCGUAGUCGGAAUUUGGCAGUUCCGGAUGUGUGCACGUCGUGUGCGCACUUCGCGGGGAUUGCUUUUGUGGUCUUGCGUAGGAUGAGGCACUUUAUUAGUGAACGUCCUCACGCAACCACUUUUUACUGUGAGAAAAUCAGAGUGCUCAAAGCAGGCAUUUGCCGUGAAUGUAUUAGCAUGGAAUAAUAGAAUAGGACUUGGUUCUAUUUUGUUGGUUUGUUGGGACUGAGUAAUGAUUAAGAGGGACAGUUGGGGGCAUUUGUAUUUCGGUGCUAGAGGUGAAAUUCUUAGAUUACCGAAAGACAAACUGCUGCGAAAGCGUCUGCCAAGGAUGUUUUCAUUGA
This 381-nucleotide ribosomal RNA is filed under the name uncultured eukaryote. Its description in RNAcentral is "partial 18S ribosomal RNA". It matches the Rfam family "Eukaryotic small subunit ribosomal RNA", at positions 592 to 976 of the family's 1831-position model. The record is from RNAcentral.